UAUUUUCAUUUGGUUCUAUCAAGAGGAAAAUAUGGCUUUGCCUGUCAGAUGACAAUUUACAGUGGGGUGAUUGAUUAACAAUUACUUGUCCACUUUGUAAUAAAAUUAGAUUAUAGGAAGUAUAUAAAUAUGGAAAUAAAACCCUCUCAAACUUCCAUGUCAAAGCACAAAGGUUGUCAUUUUAGCAUCUUUAACAACAAUGUUGAUCUUUAGGUGUCUGGUAUGGAUUACCUUGGUCUUUCUUUUGUCUGCAGGAUCAGAGAGUCGGCCCUUGACGGAGAAUAGGAGUCGAAAUCAACCGAUUCAGGCCUUAAGACAGUACCUGAAUGAAGAAGCUAAGAAAAACCAGUUUGAGUAGGUUAAGAGAACAAGUCCUGGGGGACCUGAUCAGCACCGUCACUUCAUAUAUAACUAGAAAUUAUAUAAUUUUCCCUUCUUAAAGUGGAUUUGGCCUUGUUCAUAUUUUGCUUUCUACUUUCUUUGUUGAAUAUGGGGGAACAAAGCAUCAAAAUGUGGUACUUGCAACAGGUUAAAUAUAACAUUGGUGUCUUGUCCCUCAUGUUUCAAGUGAAAAAAUAUCCACAUUUUGAUGCUUUGUUCCCUAUAUUCAAGAAACAAAGGAAAUAUAUAUAUCAACAAGGUAAAAUCCACAUUAAAAGAAGGGAAAUAUGAAAAAUUCCUAUUCUGAUAGAACAUUGUAGGUUCACAUAUGCUUGUAUGCUAUCUUUGAGGGAUGGAUGGAAAUUAUGACUGUUCUCGCUUUUUUUCUUAUAGUUUUCUAAUAAGCUAUUCUAAGUAAUUU
Molecule: long non-coding RNA, 802 nt
Filed under: Gossypium raimondii (Peruvian cotton)
Lineage: Eukaryota; Viridiplantae; Streptophyta; Magnoliopsida; Malvales; Malvaceae
Description: long non-coding RNA (GRAI_LNC008820)
Source: RNAcentral